UACGUAGGGGGCAAGCGUUGUCCGGAAUUAUUGGGCGUAAAGCGCGCGCAGGCGGCUGUUUAAGUCUGGUGUAUAAUCCUGGGGCUCAACUCCGGGUCGCACUGGAAACUGGACGGCUUGAGUGCAGAAGAGGAGAGUGGAAUUCCACGUGUAGCGGUGAAAUGCGUAGAGAUGUGGAGGAACACCAGUGGCGAAGGCGACUCUCUGGGCUGUAACUGACGCUGAGGCGCGAAAGCGUGGGGAGCAAACAGG
Molecule: ribosomal RNA, 252 nt
Filed under: uncultured bacterium
Lineage: Bacteria
Description: partial 16S ribosomal RNA
Rfam family: Bacterial small subunit ribosomal RNA
Source: RNAcentral